RNAcentral lists this ribosomal RNA (465 nucleotides) under uncultured bacterium. Its description in RNAcentral is "partial 16S ribosomal RNA". It matches the Rfam family "Bacterial small subunit ribosomal RNA", at positions 339 to 795 of the family's 1533-position model. The record is from RNAcentral.
CUACGGGGCGCAGCAGUGGGGAAUAUUGGACAAUGGGGGAAACCCUGAUCCAGCAAUGCCGCGUGUGUGAAGAAGGCCUGCGGGUUGUAAAGCACUUUCGGUUGGGAGGACUGCUUCUAGCACUAAUAUUGUUGGAAGUUGACGUUACCUUCAGAAGAAGCACCGGCUAACUCCGUGCCAGCAGCCGCAGUAAUACGGAGGGUGCAAGCGUUAAUCGGAAGUACUGGGCGUAAAGCGCGCGUAGGUGGCUAGAUCAGUCGGGUGUGAAAGCCCCGGGCUUAACCUGGGAACUGCAUCCGAUACUGUCUAGCUUGAGUACAGGAGAGGGGAGUGGAAUUCCACAUGUAGCGGUGAAAUGCGUAGAUAUGUGGAGGAACACCAAUGGCGAAGGCAGCUCUCUGGCCUGAUACUGACGCUGAGGUGCGAAAGCGUGGGGAGCAAACAGGAUUAGAUACCCUCGUAGUC